CGUCUUGGUUAUUGAUGUUGGAUGCUUGCAUUUAACUGAUUUAACAUUGAGACGAGUGGCGAACUGGUGAGUAACACGUGGGUAACCUGCCCUUGAAGUAGGGGAUAACACUUGGAAACAGGUGCUAAUACCGUAUAACAACCAAAACCACCUGGUUUUGGUUUAAAAGAUGGCUUCGGCUAUCACUUUAGGAUGGACCCGCGGCGUAUUAGCUUGUUGGUAAGGUAACGGCCUACCAAGGCAAUGAUACGUAGCCGACCUGAGAGGGUAAUCGGCCACAUUGGGACUGAGACACGGCCCAAACUCCUACGGGAGGCAGCAGUAGGGAAUCUUCCACAAUGGACGAAAGUCUGAUGGAGCAACGCCGCGUGAGUGAUGAAGGGUUUCGGCUCGUAAAACUCUGUUGUUGGAGAAGAACAGGUGUGAGAGUAACUGUUCACAUCUUGACGGUAUCCAACCAGAAAGCCACGGCUAACUACGUGCCAGCAGCCGCGGUAAUACGUAGGUGGCAAGCGUUGUCCGGAUUUAUUGGGCGUAAAGCGAGCGCAGGCGGUUUCUUAGGUCUGAUGUGAAAGCCUUCGGCUUAACCGGAGAAGUGCAUCGGAAACCAGGAGACUUGAGUGCAGAAGAGGACAGUGGAACUCCAUGUGUAGCGGUGAAAUGCGUAGAUAUAUGGAAGAACACCAGUGGCGAAGGCGGCUGUCUGGUCUGUAACUGACGCUGAGGCUCGAAAGCAUGGGUAGCGAACAGGAUUAGAUACCCUGGUAGUCCAUGCCGUAAACGAUGAGUGCUAAGUGUUGGAGGGUUUCCGCCCUUCAGUGCUGCAGCUAACGCAUUAAGCACUCCGCCUGGGAGUACGACCGCAAGGUUGAAACUCAA
This 879-nucleotide ribosomal RNA is filed under the name uncultured bacterium. RNAcentral's name for it is "bacterial SSU rRNA". It matches the Rfam family "Bacterial small subunit ribosomal RNA", at positions 43 to 904 of the family's 1533-position model. The record is from RNAcentral.